This 5777-nucleotide long non-coding RNA is filed under the name Strigops habroptila (Kakapo). RNAcentral's name for it is "lncRNA (ENSSHBG00005019530.1)". Lineage: Eukaryota; Metazoa; Chordata; Aves; Psittaciformes; Psittacidae. The record is from RNAcentral.
GCAUUCUGUGUUAAGAGAUAAGUUUCUUGCAUACUAACUAGGUUUGACUGUGUUACUCAUAGCAGAUUUAAAAUUAGCUAGUGUUGCACCAGUCUUAUCUGGAGAAAUUAUUUAAUAUUCUAUACGAGAUGUGAUAUUCUUUGGUAGCUUCUGCUUUUGCACCAUAUGCAAAGAUGCCAAAAGACUAGACAGAAAACUAAAAUGGGUAUAUCGUUCACUUUUAGUCGGCAGACUUAGUGUUGCUCUCUAUCUGCCUAGGCAUUAUUGUGCAACUGCAUUUUGCAUAUAUGCCACUUGUGAUGAUAACAGUAAUAUUUUGAUAUUCUCUAAUAGUAGCAUAAUUUUGCCUUUUUAAACCUUUGAUCUGAAUCUUGCAAUAGAGCAGUUUAUUUAUUAGCAUAUAGGAGGCUGGGUUUUAACUCCCCUUUCCUCUUGUCUGAACGUUGUUCUUUCUAAAAAUCCUCUUUUGCAGGAGAAAAUCCUUUCUAACUAGUGGAAAGGCUUGUGUGUGUAUGUGAGAGUGCCGUGUGUUGGUCUCUGUGGCUCUCUAAAUAGUAUAGCAACGUGUCCACACCUGAUAUUUAUCUAGCCUUUAUGGCUGGCUUAUUUUAUUUUAUUUAUGAUUAUGACAUGCAAACGAAGCUGUUCUUUGCAUGAAGAUUUUCUGAAAGAAGAGAACAGAUCCGCUCUUUGAAGGACUUUCAGAAGUGUGUGUCCUGGAAGGCAAGCACGUUACUUGCAUUAGUGUCCAGAGUUGGUUUGUGUGUUUCACUUACUAAAGUGGCCAGUUCUCAAGGCAAAAAUCCUAGCAAUGAGAUGCUUGCAUCUCACAUGAAUUCUCUUGAAGGAGGUGUAUGUAUCUGAGGGCAGGCUGUAGUACUUGGUUAAGGAGAACUGUAUCUUUUGUAUGUGUUCAGUUGACAAAGAAUACAGCCUUGUAGCCGUCUUUUUGUAGUACUGGUUUAAGACACAGAAAAUUAAUAUAGUAUGAGAUCUCAAAAUAAGAUUUAAAAAAAUAUAUGAGAAGAUUGUUUUUGAAAGACAAACAAUGAAUGUAAAAACUUCACUCGCUGCUCAUAUUUAGAAGCAGCAGUCAAUCCGUAGCUUUGUUGCAGCCAACAGUGGGGGUUUGUGAAUAUUCAUCUGCAGGGCUGUGUUCUGGGGUUUUUCAGGGGUAGGGAAAUUGUUGUGCAUUUAUUAUCAGAUAUCGUACUGGUCUUGCCUAAUGCUGUAUAGGAGAGAGAGAAUGUAUUAUUAUUAAUGGUCUGGAUGCUGGAGCCCCUUCUGGGACUCUGAGGAUCUCUUUUGGGUUUAGCAGCUUAGGAAGAACUCAAAUGCAUUUGCAACACUUUAUUUAAAUGUUUGUAGUUUAAAGAAGUUUGUAUAUAUGUAACAUAAGUGAUUUGGAAAUCAGACCUACCUUUCUAUUGCAACGCAUUUUGGUUGGUUGCUUGAACAGUCGGAGGUGUCUGGCUGUCUGGAGAGCUAGACAUGGAGCAUGUGUUGGGUUGAUACUUGCAAGUGGAAGGAUGAGGUUGCUGUUUUGUGCAGUCUGAGAAUCCUUGCUUUGGUACCUGUACAAAGUUAGGUAUUACAGAAGAAGCUCUCUAACCUGGGGCUCUGUUUAGUCCCUGUGACUGAUCACAAACCUUUUCCAGCACCUCACCAUUUAAGCUUGCACAGAAGCUACUCUGGGCAUGUGCUGGAGGGCGGGCAGGUAGGCUCAGGGCUUUUGACACUCUUCCCAGCAGUGAUCUGAAUGUGAGCUUUGGCAUCACCCAUCUUCUCACACUGGAGACUCAGGCCACAGCUCUGCUUCUCAUCCAAGGCAGGUGGCUGGCAGAGGUGACAGCUCAGGGACUCAGCUGACUGUGCAGAGACAGAACUGAGCCUCACGGGUGACGGAGGGUUAUCAAAGGCCAGUGGGCAGCACAGCUUCAGCAAGUGAACCUCAGAAAUAUGCAUGCCUUGAUCUUUCCCUGCCUGCCUGCAGGUCACUAUUUUAGAUCAUUGCUCUUUCAGCCAUUUGCAGAGAAGUGUGUCUGUCUGGUAGGAAGCUGCUGUGUGCAUCUUGUGGAUUAUUCUGCCAGGACCAUGAAGUUUGCAAAGUUGAAGCUUCAGUGCAGGGAAGAGGAGAGGGAAGGUAUGUGGCUGAAUCCUGCUGUGAAUGGAUGGUAACUCCUUCCACAGUCUUGAUAACCUGCUUUGGACUGCUGGCCUCUUUGUGCGCUCUAGAGAAUCAUGCUUAAAAUGUUCUGAUCUCUAGAGCUCCUUUGGCUUCAUUCCUUGGAUCAGUCUCUGAUUCCUCUGCUUUCUCCCUGUGAAGUUGCUUAUGCUUUAAUAGAUUUAUCGGUGUUCGAAUUGCCUGAUUUUUGAGAUAAAUACAAGAUAGGUGCUCUUUGCAUAUCAGGUUUGAAAGCUGCAUCCUAAAAUAGAGAAAUUCUAGGGGGAAAAAGGCACUGAGGUAUCUAUCCUCUGUGUGUUCUCAAAAUCCGUUAACUUGGUGGCAGUCAAGCAGAUUCUCUUGCUCAUGCUUGUAGCCUGGUAGUAUGCCACAGCUGUGGCUAUUGUCUCUGUUAGCUCUACUGUCCUUUUUCUCUCUGCUCUGUUAAAAUCUAUUGGUCCUCCUAUAGAUCCCUUCUUCAGUGACCAACCUUCUAUAAAACUUGUGAUUAUAAAGCUGCUUUGGCUUGAUUCAGGACCAAGCCUUUUAAUUCUUCUUUGUUUCCUUUUUCCUUUGUGGUUUGUUAGAGUGGAGGUGGUUGGGGUGGUUUUUACCACUGAGUAGCCAAAGGGCUCAGUGCGUCCUUCAGAGGUUUUUGAGAGGUGUGCGUUGGCAACCACAGAUUCAAACACAGGUUAGUUACAGAACUCCAAAUAAUGCCUUAACUUGGUCAACGUAUUGCAGCUCAGCUUCUGGGACUCGCUAGAUAGUGAGACUGGCUUAGCAAAACUGUUUAUCAGUAGUAACACGAGACCCACACCAAAACAUGGUUUUGAUUUGGAGCAGAGGAAGCAGCUGUUUUGCAAAUCAAUGAGUUUGAGUCUGUUGAAUGCAGCCGACUGCUGGUGAAUAUGCAAUAAGAAGCUCCACUUCUCAGAGUCUGGCCAAAGACCUGUCCUGUUGGCACAGAAAUUGGAAGAAGAGCUUAUGCCUGUCAGCUGAGCCUGGGUGAGCAGCUGGCUCUCAGAAUACCUGUUCUGACUAAAGAAUGGCUUAAGAGAACCUGGAAUUGCUGCUUUUGCCAGGUACAGAUCAGUUCCCAAUGUCUGCCUUUGGUCUGCAGUGCUGCACAAGGCUCCUCUGGGAUGGGAGGGUUGUUACCUGAGCUCUUUGAUGAGAAGGAGCCUGUGUUAGAGGCUGAUGAUGGUCUCUUUUAUACAAAAAAUCAAAUCUUAAAUGGCUCUUCCUGCCGUGGCAGCACUGUGAUUUGUCACCAAGAAUACACAAGCUUAGUUUUCUGGAGAAGCAUUUAAUCUUGGGAGACAAGAGAGCAUGAGGAGUUACAGCUGAGAGCUGCCUGCUGCCGCGUCACUCCUCUGGAUAAGGGAGAAAAAGGCUUUGGCCUGGGUCUCAUGCUAUAAUUUUACUUUUGGGGAGCUACUAAAAUACCUGGUUUUCCUUCACAAACCUGAAAAGGCUUUUUUUCCUUUUUGGGAGUAAUUAAAAACCCCUUAACUUACAUAAAAACAUGUAAGUCUUAACUGUUGAAAAAGUCAAAGGAAAUGGGUGGGUAUGGCUCUUCCGUGAUUGUGGUGAUAGCUUUCUGACUUUUUCCACAGUUGCAACAAUUCCCACUGGGAUAGCCUGUGCUUUUGCCCAGGUGAGGCUCCUGAGCGACUGCUACAGGUUUUGAGACCUUUUUGAGGUUCCCUGGUUGCUUGGCCCUGCGAGGCCACGUGUUUUGGGGUUACGAGGCAGCCUUCUCCUUCAUCCAGCCUUUCCAGCUGCGGAGCUUUGUGCCGCACGCGGUUGGCAGUGGCUGUGGUUGCUUUCCUGGGUUGUUGUAGGAUGUUGCUGGUGUGGAAGUGAGAGCGCCAUUGGGGAUUGCUCACCCUGUGCCAGGCACUGGAGGAGCAGAGUAGCUGACAUAGCCCAUGUGGUGUGAGAAACUGAGGAGUGGUGGGAAUUGCCACUUCUCUGUUUCCUUCCCAACUGGCUGUCCUUGUCCCUUCAGUCAAAACUGGUGCUCACCACUUCGGUUGCACCAGGAACUGUACAGGGUCGCUUCUGUCCCAGAGCCCUCUGUGAUUUCUGUCCUUUCACUCAAUUUGAUAGUCUUUCUGGAAAAUGCUGCCAUUGCAAUGAGGUAACAAGUUGUACAGAGCCGGUUAUCUGCUGCUUUGUUUUCCUCAGGUACAGCAGAAUUGCUGGAGCUGUGGGUGCCUGAGGAAUUCACCUCCAAGCAAUUGGGUUAAAACCCAGCUGGGUUAAAAAUAAACCCCAAUUGCUUUGAAAACAAUGUCGCUGAAGUGUCUCCUUAUAUGCUGGGGUGCUGCAUUAGACACCUCUUCCUCACUCACACCUUGCUGUCAUAUGCUGAGAGGAACUGGAAACAUGAGAACUAUAUUUUUGGACAAAGCAUUUAUAAGAGUCUUAUAAGGGAUUUUUUUUUUUAAUUUGAAAAAAAAGGUGCAAGAUUGAGUGCAUGUUUACUUGCCCCAGAUCAAAGGUUUUGAACACUAAGGUCACUAUCUGUUGAAUGGACCCUCCUCUUGACCCUCUUCUGUCUUCAGGCAAUUGAAGCUCCUGCCCUCUUUCUCUACCAGUUUUACUGUACCUACUUUGGUUUUCCCCCAGGAGAAAUAUAUAUACAAAAAUUCUCUAAGCAAUUAAAUGUUCAAGCCAUAAAAUCACGAGUGUGGGAAGACCCUCUUCACAACUUUUAACAUAUUUGUAUGUAAAAUGACGUUUGUAUGAAAUAUUUUCAUGGUAGAAUGAAUAUUUAAAAGAAAAGUUCCAAUAAGAUCUAAACCAAAUUUAAAAGAAUGUCUUUUUGUAAGAUGCAAAUGUAAUUGAUUACCAAUAAGUAGAUGUUUGUUUUUAAAGGGGAGAUGCAACAAAUAAUCUUUACAAUUACAAAUGGUCGUUUCUGCUGUUUGGGAAAGUAUUUAUGCAGCAUUACACAUGGCUAUCCUAAAUAACUGCAGUAGCAAGGCCAGUCGCAUCUUCAGGACAUACCUCUCAGCUUGUCCCUUUGUGAUACUAUAUGAACAGACCCAUCCCUCCUUUCUGCAGGUUUCCUCCUAGAAAACUUUUCCUACUGUAACCCUACUGAAUUUAACACUUGAGCUAAGAUCCAGACUAAAAUUGUGUAUUACUUAACAGUUUCCGCUGGGCCUUCUGCUAUUUUAAUACUCUUCAGCCCAUAAUUACUGGGUGUCUCUGUUCUGAAGAACUAAGUGCUAAAGAAUAAUCUUGGGGUGAGCUUACACGUGUGUUAACAGUUAACCCCGGAGUAUUUAACUUGUAUACAGUACUUGAUAGGUGUUUUAUGACAUUUGUACUCGAACUAUGAGCCUUACUGAACAUCUGUAGGUUUAUUCAUGACUUUUCAAAAAUGGAUAACUCUAAGAAAGAUGUUUACAUGAAUGAUGAUUGCCCUUCCUUUGAUGUUAUGAAUGAGGUUUUUAUAGUGUGUUUGGGUGUAUGUGCAGGGAAGUAAGAAAAAUGUUUCUGGGGAAAAAUAGACUUGACAAACAUUUGUAAUAAGUGAAUUUUAAAGAUUGCUUUAAUUGCGCUAUGAAGGCAAUGCAGAUAUUAAAAUAUUCAACAG